RNAcentral lists this ribosomal RNA (253 nucleotides) under uncultured bacterium. RNAcentral describes it as "partial 16S ribosomal RNA". It matches the Rfam family "Bacterial small subunit ribosomal RNA", at positions 524 to 776 of the family's 1533-position model. The record is from RNAcentral.
UACGAAGGGGGCCAGCGUUGCUCGGAAUCACUGGGCGUAAAGGGUGCGUAGGCGGGUCUUUUAGUCAGGGGUGAAAUCCUGGAGCUCAACUCCAGAACUGCCUUUGAUACUGAGGAUCUUGAGUUCGGGAGAGGUGAGUGGAACUGCGAGUGUAGAGGUGAAAUUCGUAGAUAUUCGCAAGAACACCAGUGGCGAAGGCGGCUCACUGGCCCGAUACUGACGCUGAGGCACGAAAGCGUGGGGAGCAAACAGG